AGGCCGCCACGGUGACUUGCAAGCAACUCACUGCACUUAGGCACUGAACUACCUGAAUUUCUAAUUCAGUGACGGAAGGCUGCUGGGUGUAGUUAAGUACUUGACUUGUCGGUGCGUGUGUCAAGAUGGGAUUGACCACUCCAGUUUAGGAGCUGUGUACAGUCGUAUUUCAAUUUAGCAAAAUCUUGGCCAGGGUAGUCCUAGUGAGGAGUUACAGGACUAAUUGAGUUGAGCACGAUUCGGAUGAUCUCAUCAGGGUUGACAGUUUAACCUUGAGUCGUCCUAAACACAGGGG
Molecule: long non-coding RNA, 295 nt
Filed under: Elaeis guineensis (African oil palm)
Lineage: Eukaryota; Viridiplantae; Streptophyta; Magnoliopsida; Arecales; Arecaceae
Description: long non-coding RNA (EGUI_LNC010507)
Source: RNAcentral